AGUGAACGCUGGCGGUAGGCCUAACACAUGCAAGUCGAACGGCAGCACAGUAAGAGCUUGCUCUUACGGGUGGCGAGUGGCGGACGGGUGAGGAAUACAUCGGAAUCUACUUUUUCGUGGGGGAUAACGUAGGGAAACUUACGCUAAUACCGCAUACGACCUACGGUUGAAAGCAGUGGAUCUUCGGACCUUGCGCGAUUGAAUGAGCCGAUGUCGGAUUAGCUAGUUGGCGGGGUAAAGGCCCACCAAGGCGACGAUCCGUAGCUGGUCUGAGAGGAUGAUCAGCCAGACUGGAACUGAGACACGGUCCAGACGCCUACGGGAGGCAGCAGUGGGGAAUAUUGGACAAAGGGCGCAAGCCUGAUCCAGCCAUACCGCGUGGGUGAAGAAGGCCUUCGGGUUGUAAAGCCCUUUUGUUGGGAAAGAAAAGCAGCAGGUUAAUACCCCGCUGUUCUGACGGUACCCAAAGAAUAAGCACCGGCUAACUUCGUG
RNAcentral lists this ribosomal RNA (492 nucleotides) under uncultured bacterium. RNAcentral's name for it is "partial 16S ribosomal RNA". It matches the Rfam family "Bacterial small subunit ribosomal RNA", at positions 29 to 507 of the family's 1533-position model. The record is from RNAcentral.